Molecule: ribosomal RNA, 460 nt
Filed under: uncultured bacterium
Lineage: Bacteria
Description: partial 16S ribosomal RNA
Rfam family: Bacterial small subunit ribosomal RNA
Source: RNAcentral
CCUACGGGAGGCUGCAGUGAGGAAUAUUGGUCAAUGGACGAGAGUCUGAACCAGCCAAGUCGCGUGAAUGAUGACUGCCCUAUGGGUUGUAAGCUUCUUUUAUAUGGGAGUAAAAUGUUCCACGUGUGGGAUUUUGUAUGUACCAUAUGAAUAAGGAUAGGCUAACUCCGUGCCAGCAGCCGCGGUCAUACGGAGGAUCCGAGCGUUAUCCGGAUUUAUUGGGUUUAAAGGGAGCGUAGGUGGAUUGUUAAGUCAGUUGUGAAAGUGUGGGGCUCAACCGUAAAAUUGCAGUUGAAACUGGAAGUCUUGAGUAUAGGAGAGGUGGGCGGAAUUCGUGGUGUAGCGGUGAAAUGCUUAGAUAUCACGAAGAACUCCGAUGGCGAAGGCAGCUCACUGGACUGCAACUGACACUGAGGCUCGAAAGUGUGGGUAUCAAACAGGAUUAGAUACCCUAGUAGUC